Molecule: ribosomal RNA, 468 nt
Filed under: uncultured bacterium
Lineage: Bacteria
Description: partial 16S ribosomal RNA
Rfam family: Bacterial small subunit ribosomal RNA
Source: RNAcentral
GACGAACGCUGGCGGCGUGCUUAACACAUGCAAGUCGAACGGAAAGGCCCUGCUUUUGUGGGGUGCUCGAGUGGCGAACGGGUGAGUAACACGUGAGUAACCUGCCCUUGACUUUGGGAUAACUUCAGGAAACUGGGGCUAAUACCGGAUAGGAGCUCCUGCUGCAUGGUGGGGGUUGGAAAGUUUCGGCGGUUGGGGAUGGACUCGCGGCUUAUCAGCUUGUUGGUGGGGUAGUGGCUUACCAAGGCUUUGACGGGUAGCCGGCCUGAGAGGGUGACCGGCCACAUUGGGACUGAGAUACGGCCCAGACUCCUACGGGAGGCAGCAGUGGGGAAUAUUGCACAAUGGGCGGAAGCCUGAUGCAGCAAAGCCGCGUGCGGGAUGACGGCCUUCGGGUUGUAUACCGCUUUCGCCUGUGACGAAGCGUGAGUGACGGUAAUGGGUAAAGAAGCACCGGCUAACUACGUG